Molecule: long non-coding RNA, 437 nt
Filed under: Homo sapiens (human)
Lineage: Eukaryota; Metazoa; Chordata; Mammalia; Primates; Hominidae
Description: HSALNT0325052
Source: RNAcentral
AGGCUCCUAUCUGUAUUUUCAAGGAAAAGUCUUCUCAACAGAAACAAGAGAGAUGGUUUUUCACUCUGUUGUCCAGGCUGGCACGACCUCGGCUCACUGCAACCUCCACCUCCAGGGUACAAGCGAUUCUCCUGCCUCAGCCUCUGGAGUAGCUGGGAUUACAGGAAUGAGGAGAGAUGGCCUUGGUGGUCCUCCUUAGGUUGGCAACAUCCAGAUGCAAUUGUUCACAUACCAGCUUCUCAUAGCGCUACCAAAAGUCUUCAACUCUUGUGGUAAUUGGGCCUCUCAUGCCAAGAACCAGGAAGAGGCACAAAAUUCCUCACUGAGAUACGGUGUGUUCUACUUCCAUGACUUCCACACACCAUUCUUAGAAAUAGGAGGUGAGCAUGAACAGAAGGAAAAGGAAAAAUAUCAUUCAUGUCUGACCUACAUUGUUU